AACGCACAUUGCGCCCUAUGGUAUUCCGUAGGGCAUGCCUGUCUGAGCGUCAACUCCCACCCUCUCAAGUCUUUCUUUUGCUAGGAGAUUUGGAUUGCUUUGAGGAAGUAUCAUUUUUUUUAUGCUGCUCCUCAGAAAUUUAUAGGCAGUAUGGUCAAACCUGAACCAGGCGUAAUAAUUCUAUAAAAUCGUCUAAUGAAAGGAAAGUCUGUAUUAGUCUUUAACCAAUUUCUAUUUUUUUUUUUGGGUGACCUCAGAUCAGGUAGGGAUACCCGCUGAACUUAA
Molecule: unclassified non-coding RNA, 285 nt
Filed under: uncultured Pezizaceae
Lineage: Eukaryota; Fungi; Ascomycota; Pezizomycetes; Pezizales; Pezizaceae
Description: sequence contains ITS2
Rfam family: 5.8S ribosomal RNA (bases 1-52)
Source: RNAcentral